RNAcentral lists this transfer RNA (68 nucleotides) under Tamiops mcclellandii (Himalayan striped squirrel). RNAcentral's name for it is "tRNA-Trp". Lineage: Eukaryota; Metazoa; Chordata; Mammalia; Rodentia; Sciuridae. The record is from RNAcentral.
AGGAAUUUAGGUUAAACCAGACCAAGAGCCUUCAAAGCCCUAAGCAAGUAACUANUACUUAAUUCCUG